Molecule: long non-coding RNA, 7391 nt
Filed under: Triticum aestivum (bread wheat)
Lineage: Eukaryota; Viridiplantae; Streptophyta; Magnoliopsida; Poales; Poaceae
Description: long non-coding RNA (TAES_LNC025819)
Source: RNAcentral
GAUUCUUUUUGCAAAUCAAAGCUCUUGACCUAAAUUUUCUGAUAAGGCCAAAUUCACAUAAUUUUGGUACUGUUAGAAAUUGUUUUAUGUUGCAAGAGCUAUUUGCUUGGUUUUGAUGUUUUCCGAAUCGACUUCUUCGAUCUUUCUGGUCUUUUGAGUAAUUGCUUAUGUGUGGUUACUAUUGCUUGAUUACGAUAGAUUGACCGGAGUGUGACGAGUAGAGCUAUCAAGAUUUUGAGUGCGAAUCAUCUUCAUCAACAUUGCAGGCAAGUUCACACUUUGAUCAUACCUUUUCUACAACCCAGUUUUUCUUGCAUUAGAUCAAUCCUCACACAUUGCAUGAUUAGGAUCUAAUUAAAUUGUGGGAUGGGAAGUAGAUGAGGUAGUACCUAUUACCUGUUUAUUAUCAAACCCUUGGGAGUUACUAUUACGUUAUGCUUAUAUUGUCAUGCUAUUGCUCAUAGACGUGGAUUGGGUUUGAGAGUAUCCAUGACAGAUGUGAGAUUGUUAAUUAAUGGUUUACUUAAGGUGGCAACUUAAACACACAUCUGGGUGGAUUGAGGCACCUGGGUAUUCCAGGACUUGCAUGUCUGGGCACCUGGGUAUUCCAGGACUUGCCUGUUUUUUCUUUUGGACCGCCACCCAGGCCCAAAGGGAUCAUAAGAUUAUUCAUACUAGAAACUUCCGUGUGCAGCCACAAGCCACUAUGGGCUCUGGCAUAGUUGAUUAAGUCGUGCGAACUCUUACAGGGUAGACUAGCAGAUGUAGGGGAAAGUAGGUGUAACGGUCUAUCCAACAUAAGGUGCUAGCGCUUCUGAAAGACUAUGUCUCGGUUAUCCGUUUCUCAAACAUCCUGUAGUGCGAGAAAUCCAACGGAGGCGAUCGAGUCUUGUGGGGAAAAGUGCGCAAACCUCUGCAGAGUGUACAAACUAAUCAUGAUUAGCCGUGUCCCCGGUUAUGGACGUCUUGAGUAUCUAGUUCUUGGAUUAUCCUGUUGAUCUCAUCAUGUUACUUCUAAAUAAAUAUUGUUGGGUUAUUGAUGACUAUUUUUAAUUGGGAUUGAGAAUGCUGUCAACCAUUCUCAAUGUUUAACAACCACCAUGAUAGUUAAAUAAAUUUAUUCCUUUGCAGUAGGGAAAAAUUUGCUUUUCGCAAAAACAGUAUAACCAUAGAGCUUUUCCACCAGCCAUAUAUGCAUGUAGUGAUAGCCAUUGUUCAUAAUUUUUCUCUAUGGUGUGAAUUUGCCAGUACAUUCAAUGUACUGACCCGUUUCGGGCUGCAACGUCUCAUGUUGCAGGUUUCUUACGACGAGUAAGUGAUACGUUAGGGUUACGAUUUCUACACUCAACUUUGUUGUUGGUGUUGAUGGGAAUCCACAACCUUGUUACUUCCGCUAUAUUGGAUUGAGGUAAUAGUAUUUACUUUACUUUAUACAUGUGAUUUACCUAUGUUAUAAAUCCUUCGAGUACUGUGUGUGUCAGCAUACCGAUCCAGGGAUGACACAUAAGCACAGAGACUUGAUCCAUUCGGGUCGGGUCGCUACAAGAUGGUAUCAGAGCACAUGUUGACUAUAGGACGUGACCCUAGAAACUGGCAAGCCCAUAGCAAAGAUUUUUCUCUACAACUUUCCCUUUCAAAAAGAUUUUUACCUCUCUUCUCUUCUGAACUUAUUCAAAAAAAUUCCCUUUAGUGAGACCAUACCCCUUUCCCCUUUUGACCACACGAAGAUUCGACUGAUGAGACCACUCCAAGAAGUACAAGAUAUCAAACAACUAAGACCACUUCAGAAUGAAGAGUAUUUUCCGUGCAUCUGAAUAAUGGAAUCUACAACGGUUGAAGACCGAAGACAAGUAGAAUUUGAAGGCUCUGAAGAAUUCCCAGAUUUGUAUGACCUAGGAAGGCUACCCUUAGGGAACUUGGCAGACUAUGGAAGUUGUCAAUGCCCGAGAUCAGGGUGUAUCGGAGAAAGACUGGAGCAUGGAGAGUUAAAAACUUGAAGUUUUGUCAAGGAAAACCCUAAGGCAGGAGAUAUCAACUAUGGAAUGAUAGCUCAUGGGAAUGACAAGAGCAGAAACAUGGUUAUCCGUGAUGUCAUCGCCCGCUGAUGCUAUUGUCACCGUGCUGAGUUAAGGAUGCAUUUCUUCAGAAUGGAUUUGAUGGAAGAAUGCUGAUGGAGCACCUAUUAGUAAGAUGAAGUUUUAACUUUAGCCGGUGUAUCACCAGGAUCUGGGGUAGUACAUAAAGAAGUUUAAGGUGGAGCUCCAUGAAGUUGUAUUAGACAAGGAAGCAUUUCGUGAAGAACUCAGGACCCAAAAGUUGAAAGUAGCCAAGCUAGAGGAGCAAAACCUCGAGAUACCGGAGAUUCAUUGAGAACUGAAGGACAGCAGGAUCAUGGUUCAGGUCGAGUUUGAUGAAACCCAGAAGUUUGGAAUGCAACUUCAGAAUAUUAAAGGACGUCACGAGAGACUUCGCAUCAACAGAGUUGAUCUGUCAAAAGAACUUAAGAAAGACAAGCAUGAUCGGAAGAAGCCAUUGGAGGCAUGAACAAGGCUUGAAGAGUUUGAAGAGUUGAUGACUUAUUGACCUUUAGAAGACCAAACCCCUGUUAUAUACCUAUGUUAGAUGCGAUGAUUGUGAGCUGUCAUUUGUUUGAUGUUUUUCCCAAUGGCCACAAAUAAAAUCUGUCUUUUCAAAACUUUUGUUUGCAUUGUGUGUAUCCCUCUCCCUCUCUCUUACCUCACCCCAUAACCCAUGGACCCAAUAGAUGAUGAAUGGAGAUGAGCUCGUAUUUGCUAAACUGAUGAGUCAAUUGGAGACGGACCGAUGGAUUCAGGACAUGGAGGAUCACAUGAAGAAUAACCCUAUAUUUGGAAAUGAUAUCACCCAGCAUGCUCUUCAAUGCUUUGAAAGAGGUGCCGCUACUUGGUGGAGGAUGUACCAAACCAUGAAUGGAUAGCAAGGAGUAACCACUUGGAGAGAAUUUAAGUUGACUCUGCCAAAGUCUGGGUUUGUGUCCCAGAAGUUGAAGCCUUAUGGAAAGGAUAUGAAGAAAUCUUGUGCAUGCAAGAUUUGUGGAGAAAUAGGACACACCCAUAAAGAACACAAGGAUGAAUGCCCUAAUUGUGAAGGAAGUCACCCAGUUGAAGAAUGCCCCACUAGGCAGAUUACUUGUUUCUUGUGUGAAGGGAUUACCCACUAUCCUACUCAGUGUCACUUCUACCCCAUGGUACGAAGGACCGUACAACAGAAGAAAGAAGUAAAGAAAGGAGCCCUUAUGGAAAUUUUAGAAGAACCCGUGAUGAAGGAAGAUGUGGAGGACACACCUAAAGAAGACCCGAGUAAACCCUGCACUAAGUCUUGCUAUUCAUGUGGAGAAGAAGGACACAUCUCCCAAAAUUGUUUGAAUGGGGAUCUAGUAGAAUUCCCGACAGAGGAAGUAGAGUAUGACCCACAAGAAAUAGAAGCCAUGAUUGGCAUGGAAAGGUCUAGAAAGAGAAGUAGAUUGGAUUCCAGGAAGGAUCUGAGUCAUGUCACCUGUUAUAGGUGCAAGGAGUCAGGGCACUACCUCAACAAUUGCCCAAAAAGGAAGCCAAGGACUCAAGGAGGCUAUAUAAUCACAAGGAAACCUCGAAACUUGUCAGAAGUAAUAUGUUUCCGUUGUAAUGAAGCAGGGCACCUUGCCAGAGAUUGUCCGAAGGAGAAGGAGACUUGUGAUAAAUAGUUGAGUUUGUAACAGAAGAAAUAUAGCAGUAGUAGUGAGAACAUUUUCUUUUAUAUUGAGGUGUUGAGUUGAGACAUGUAAUGGAAAAGCGAGAGAUUGUAAUUAAUUGAGAGUGAAUAAAGUUAGCAUCAUUGGUACUGAUAUGGAUUUUAUGAGUUGUUACUCUAUGAAGAAGAAUUUGGGCCAUUUUAAGGAUAUGAGAAAUAUGCUCUAUGGAAGAUUUGUGCAUUUUAAGGGUGGUAGUACCCUGUAAGAACCGUUGACCCCUGGAAAAGAUAAGGAUACUCCACUGAGUGGAUUUUGGACAAAAUGAAUAUGAGUUUUGUCUCUAUAUGUAUGAUACCCAAGAGUGUGUGGGAUGAAAUUGGAGACCGUCAGUUGUUUGGACCAAAUGUGAUCAAGGAGUCAGAAGAGAAUGUUAAGUUGAUUUGAGAUAGACUGAAGGUAGCUCAGUCUAGGCAGAAGAGUUAUGUAGACUCAAAAACUCAAGAAGGUAGUCUAUGAAAUUGGAGACAGAGCAUGUCUUCGCGUGUCCCCUAUGCGAGGAGUUAAAUGGAUUGGAGUUAAGGGAAAAUUAGCCUUGAGAUUUGUAGGACCAUACCAAGUUUUGGAGCGUAUGGGAGAAGUGGCCAACAAGUUGGAGUCACCCGAAGGACUGUCAGGAGUUCAUGAUGUGUUUCACGUUUCCCAGUUGAAGAAGUGCCAUGCAGAGAUGGCCAAUAUUCCCCUGUAAGGACGCUUGACCCUGGAAAGGAUAAUGAUGUUCCACGAAGUGAAUAUGGACUUCAUAAGUAUAAGUUUUUAUCUUGGUAUGUGGGAUAUCCCACGAGGAUGAAGAGAUAAAUUACUAUUAGAUAUAAAGGAGGUAUGAUGUUGGAAAUAUGGAUCAAUGAAAGUUCCAUGAUGAGUCUGAGUAAUCAUGUCCUAGUUUGGUGCCAAUAGAAGGAAGGAAGACAGUACAAUUGGAUGGAUUAAAGAAUACUAGGAAGUUGGAAGUUGGAAUAAUGAUCAGUUGCCCGAUGAUAAGUUCAAGGACUACAAGUGAUGAGAUGGGCCAUAACCCACAGGCCCCAGGACCUGCCAAGAAGCAAGCACAUUCUUGCUGAAGGAAGAACCCUGGAAGAGGAUAUACCUUUGUCGACAGACGAUUUUAUAGGAGUAACGCAAAACCUGAGAGUUGUGAAGAAACGUUAGAUGUUUGUCUGGCUUUGCAGAAUCUGUGGAUAUAUCCGAACUUGGUUCGUUGACAAGAGAAAUUCUGCAAUGCUUGUGAGGAUGACCGAGUGUUAGAAUGCGAGAUUCGCUAAACCGUAUACAAGGUAAUGAUUUGGGUGCGGGAUGGAUUGAUCACCAUACCGACUUACUCUUAUUAUUCGCCUUGCUAUGUGGGAUGGUAAAUCUGAGUGACUUACCUAUAGUAGAGAGACGACAAUCAAAACGUUGUUUAAGCCUUAGAAUGGUAUAAGUAUUUUUCCCUUGUACACGGCAGUUGUUGCCAACAGUAGGUUAUACGAUGAGAAUCAACCCAGACCCAUUUCCUGCAUGAGAAACCAUACAUUGUUGACCACCAUGAGAUAUCGAUAGUUCUUUAGUUUUGGCACCAGACCCGUCAGCUAAGAAGACCCAGUCACAGAAGAACCUUACCAAGAUGAAAGACAAAAGAAUUGAGGAAAAGGUUAUGCCACUACCGAAAGAGCCAGAGAAGGAAUUAUACGGAAGAUCUGAGAAGACGGCACUGUCAAGAAUAAGGAUGGAGUAUAUGAGUUUUGAUGGAACCGUAACAAUGCUUCUAAGGGUGGUAGCACCCCAGACUCCCGGUGACGAUCGAUGGAUUCGGAGAAGACCCCAAGCCCAACCUAUUUCUUGCUAGCCUCUUCGAAUCUCGAGGACGAGAUUCAUUUUAAGGGUGGUAGGUUUGUAACAUCCCAAAAUUCUAAAUUUUGGAAUGUUAUAAUAAAUAGAUAGAUUUGAUUGAUUGACUGAAAGUGAGUGAAUUUGAAACUUUUUGAAAGUUAAAUGAGAGGGAAUAAAAGGACUUUCCCAAAACUUUCAUUUUUAUGCUCUCCGCGAAUUCAAAUACUUUCCACCACAAAACCCUGGAGAGAAGAUGACAUGACUUCUUCCAUUUAUUUAAAUGAUCCAUUUAUUUAAAUGACAAGGGGUGUUGAAAAUAUUUGAAUUUCAUUUGGAAAAUAUUUCCACUUCUGUAACUUUAUGCAACUCAAUGAUUUUCAUGAAAGAAGAUAAAAUGACUUCUUCAAAACAUAUAAAAUAUGAGUUGGGAGUUUCGAAGAAUCAAAUUCAAAGCCCUUUUGAAUUUAUUUUCAAUUUGGAGUUAUUUGAGUUUUAUUCAAAUUAUUUUUCUCCAAAAAUAAAAUAUAUGGAAAAUAGGGUAACAUGAUUCCCUACAACAGAAAAUUGGAGAGAAAUAAAUUUGAAAUCACUUUGAUAUUUUUUAAAAUGAUUUUUAUUGGAUUUUAUUAGACUAGUAGCACUCUUUGAAUUAUUUGAAUUUGUGUGAAUUUUAUUUAAUGCUAGGAAAAUGUUCAUCUUGUAGAAAAUCUUUUUCUGAAAAUUUUGAUAUAUUAUAUGCCUAUAUAAAGUUUUUUUUUAGUUUAUCGCAUUCUGUAAAAAAAAUUACACCGCGCGGCCGGCUGGAGGCAAAAAAAAAAAACUGCACCGCGCGGCCGGCCGAAGGCCUUUAGGUCCAUCGCCUUUUUUUUCUCUGUUUCGUAUAUUUUCGUCUACGUUUAGUCCCACAUUGCUUAGCCUUUGACCCCUAAGCCUCUUUUCCACCAAUAAAUAUAGACCUAUAGAGCCUCCAAAAAUCAUCCGAUUCGGGUUAAAUCAAUAUUUUGGUUUGAUUAAAUUCAUUUAAAAAAAUAUAUUUCUCCUCACCGGCGCGACUUCUGAAAAUUAUCUCUUCUCUCCAAAGUCGUCUUUUCUCUGCCUUAUAAAGGUAUCUUUCUUUUUUUUCUUCUUAUACCUCUGUAGUUUAUUAUUUUUAGACUAAUAUAAUAAAAUAAUUAGAUUAUCAAUUAGUCUACGUAUUUAUACAUUAGACCCUAGCCCGUAGCUAUUUUUUCUUCCGUAAAACAGCUUGACCCUGAUUUUUCAAAUAGCCAUAACUUUUUACUCGUUUGCCCAAAUCCAACGAAACCAACGCCCACUUCUUCGUUAUGAUCUCCUCUAUCUAGUAAUCCAACUCAAACAUGUUUUUGAAAAUUUUAAAAUUUGAAUUAGAUCAGAUUUGAAUUCAAACUUCUUUUGAUCAUAUAUUUUUAUCCGUAACUCCGUUUUAGUUGAUUCUUUUUGCAAAUCGAAGCUCUUGACCUAAAUUUUCUGAUAAGGCCAAAUUCACAUAAUUUUGGUACUGUUAGAAAUUGUUUUAUGUUGCAAGAGCUAUUUGCUUGGUUUUGAUGUUUUCCGAAUCGACUUCUUCGAUCUUUCUGGUCUUUUGAGUGAUUGCUUAUGUGUGGUUACUAUUGCUUGAUUACGAUAGAUUGACCGGAGUGUGACGAGUAGAGCUAUCAAGAUUUUGAGUGCGAAUCAUCUUCAUCAACAUUGCAGGCAAGUUCACACUUUGAUCAUACCUUUUCUACAACCCAGUUUUUCUUGCAUUAGAUCAAUCCUCACACAUUGCAUGAUUAGGAUCUAAUUAAAUUGUGGG